This 465-nucleotide ribosomal RNA is filed under the name uncultured Klebsiella sp. Its description in RNAcentral is "bacterial SSU rRNA". It matches the Rfam family "Bacterial small subunit ribosomal RNA", at positions 338 to 795 of the family's 1533-position model. Lineage: Bacteria; Pseudomonadati; Pseudomonadota; Gammaproteobacteria; Enterobacterales; Enterobacteriaceae. The record is from RNAcentral.
CCUACGGGGGGCAGCAGUGGGGAAUAUUGCACAAUGGGCGCAAGCCUGAUGCAGCCAUGCCGCGUGUGUGAAGAAGGCCUUCGGGUUGUAAAGCACUUUCAGCGGGGAGGAAGGCGUUAAGGUUAAUAACCUUGGCGAUUGACGUUACCCGCAGAAGAAGCACCGGCUAACUCCGUGCCAGCAGCCGCGGUAAUACGGAGGGUGCAAGCGUUAAUCGGAAUUACUGGGCGUAAAGCGCACGCAGGCGGUCUGUCAAGUCGGAUGUGAAAUCCCCGGGCUCAACCUGGGAACUGCAUUCGAAACUGGCAGGCUAGAGUCUUGUAGAGGGGGGUAGAAGUCCAGGUGUAGCGGUGAAAUGCGUAGAGAUCUGGAGGAAUACCGGUGGCGAAGGCGGCCCCCUGGACAAAGACUGACGCUCAGGUGCGAAAGCGGGGGGAGCAAACAGGAUUAGAUACCCGUGUAGUC